This 230-nucleotide ribosomal RNA is filed under the name Vibrio parahaemolyticus. RNAcentral describes it as "partial 16S ribosomal RNA". It matches the Rfam family "Bacterial small subunit ribosomal RNA", at positions 1121 to 1350 of the family's 1533-position model. Lineage: Bacteria; Pseudomonadati; Pseudomonadota; Gammaproteobacteria; Vibrionales; Vibrionaceae. The record is from RNAcentral.
GCGAGUAAUGUCGGGAACUCCAGGGAGACUGCCGGUGAUAAACCGGAGGAAGGUGGGGACGACGUCAAGUCAUCAUGGCCCUUACGAGUAGGGCUACACACGGGCUACAAUGGCGCAUACAGAGGGCGGCCAACUUGCGAAAGUGAGCGAAUCCCAAAAAGUGCGUCGUAGUCCGGAUUGGAGUCUGCAACUCGACUCCAUGAAGUCGGAAUCGCUAGUAAUCGUGGAUC